GGUUUAUAAAGUCUAACCUGCCCACUGGGAUCAAACUAAAGGGCCGCGGUAUUUUAACCGUGCGAAGGUAGCAUAGUCAUUAGUCUCUUAAUUGGAGGCUUGUAUGAAUGGUUGGACAAGAAGCAAACUGUCUCAAAUACAAUAAUUGAAUUUGACUUUUAAGUGAAAAGGCUUAAAUAUUUUAAAGGGACGAUAAGACCCUAUAAAGCUUAAUAAUUUAGUAUAUAAUUAGAUGAGUUAAAAGUUUAAUAUUAUUUAUAUACUGAAUUAUUUCGUUGGGGCGACGAUGAUAUAAUUUGUAACUGUUUAAAUCUAAAAUACAGAGAUAUUUGUGUGUAAUGAUCCUUGUUGUUGAUUAAAAAUUUAAGUUACUUUAGGGAUAACAGCGUUAUUUAUUUUGAGAGUUCAUAUCGACAAAAAAGUUUGCGACCUCGAUGUUGAAUUAAAAAUUCGCCAUGGCGUAGGAGUUGUGGAGGUAGGUCUGUUCGACCUUUAAAUUUUUACAUGAUUUGAGUUCAAACCG
Molecule: ribosomal RNA, 523 nt
Filed under: Homarus gammarus (European lobster)
Lineage: Eukaryota; Metazoa; Arthropoda; Malacostraca; Decapoda; Nephropidae
Description: partial 16S ribosomal RNA
Rfam family: Bacterial large subunit ribosomal RNA
Source: RNAcentral